RNAcentral lists this ribosomal RNA (1287 nucleotides) under Cordyceps sp. BCC12671. RNAcentral describes it as "partial 18S ribosomal RNA". It matches the Rfam family "Eukaryotic small subunit ribosomal RNA", at positions 87 to 1385 of the family's 1831-position model. Lineage: Eukaryota; Fungi; Ascomycota; Sordariomycetes; Hypocreales; Cordycipitaceae. The record is from RNAcentral.
CUGCGAAUGGCUCAUUAUAUAAGUUAUCGUUUAUUUGAUAGUACCUUACUACUUGGAUAACCGUGGUAAUUCUAGAGCUAAUACAUGCUAAAAAUCCCGACUUCGGAAGGGAUGUAUUUAUUAGAUUAAAAACCAAUGCCCUCUGGGCUCCUUGGUGAUUCAUGAUAACUUUUCGAAUCGCAUGGCCUUGCGCCGGCGAUGGUUCAUUCAAAUUUCUUCCCUAUCAACUUUCGAUGUUUGGGUAUUGGCCAAACAUGGUCGCAACGGGUAACGGAGGGUUAGGGCUCGACCCCGGAGAAGGAGCCUGAGAAACGGCUACUACAUCCAAGGAAGGCAGCAGGCGCGCAAAUUACCCAAUCCCGAUUCGGGGAGGUAGUGACAAUAAAUACUGAUACAGGGCUCUUUUGGGUCUUGUAAUUGGAAUGAGUACAAUUUAAAUCCCUUAACGAGGAACAAUUGGAGGGCAAGUCUGGUGCCAGCAGCCGCGGUAAUUCCAGCUCCAAUAGCGUAUAUUAAAGUUGUUGUGGUUAAAAAGCUCGUAGUUGAACCUUGGGCCUGGCUGGCCGGUCCGCCUCACCGCGUGUACUGGUCCGGCCGGGCCUUUCCCUCUGUGGAACCCCAUGCCCUUCACUGGGUGUGGCGGGGAAACAGGACUUUUACUUUGAAAAAAUUAGAGUGCUCCAGGCAGGCCUAUGCUCGAAUACAUUAGCAUGGAAUAAUAAAAUAGGACGUGUGGUUCUAUUUUGUUGGUUUCUAGGACCGCCGUAAUGAUUAAUAGGGACAGUCGGGGGCAUCAGUAUUCAAUUGUCAGAGGUGAAAUUCUUGGAUUUAUUGAAGACUAACUACUGCGAAAGCAUUUGCCAAGGAUGUUUUCAUUAAUCAGGAACGAAAGUUAGGGGAUCGAAGACGAUCAGAUACCGUCGUAGUCUUAACCAUAAACUAUGCCGACUAGGGAUCGGACGAUGUUAUUUUUUGACGCGUUCGGCACCUUACGAGAAAUCAAAGUGCUUGGGCUCCAGGGGGAGUAUGGUCGCAAGGCUGAAACUUAAAGAAAUUGACGGAAGGGCACCACCAGGGGUGGAGCCUGCGGCUUAAUUUGACUCAACACGGGGAAACUCACCAGGUCCAGACACAAUGAGGAUUGACAGAUUGAGAGCUCUUUCUUGAUUUUGUGGGUGGUGGUGCAUGGCCGUUCUUAGUUGGUGGAGUGAUUUGUCUGCUUAAUUGCGAUAACGAACGAGACCUUAACCUGCUAAAUAGCCCGUAUUGCUUUGGCAGUACGCUGGC